Molecule: transfer-messenger RNA, 365 nt
Filed under: Xanthobacter sp. DMC12
Lineage: Bacteria; Pseudomonadati; Pseudomonadota; Alphaproteobacteria; Hyphomicrobiales; Xanthobacteraceae
Also listed under: 1 other name
Rfam family: Alphaproteobacteria transfer-messenger RNA
About the family: Bacterial tmRNA, also known as 10Sa RNA or SsrA, is named for its dual tRNA and mRNA-like properties.
Source: RNAcentral
CCCCUUUCAUCGGCCGGCGGCGGCGCCUAUAUUCAGCGGGCCGGCGCAAGUCGGCUAUGGCGAUAAAUCGGUGUUGGAAUAAGCCUUUCGGACCCGGGGGCGGUACCCGGCGCCUCCACCAAAGCCCGUAUCCCCUCACCGGGAGACGGGCUCCGGCGGGGGCGAAAUAGGAUCGACGAGGGUGUAAAGAGCAUUCUUUCGCUCGGCAUUGUACCGCCGUUAUCGGGCUAAACUUAUAGUUGCCAACGACAACUAUGCUCCGGUUGCUCAGGCCGCGUGAGCGGUUUGACGAUCGAAAUCAAAGUCCUACCGGGUAGCACUGGAUAGGCGGGGUUCGGAGGCACCUGGCAACAGAAGCCUCCACU